GCUCAGAUUGAACGCUGGCGGCAGGCUUAAACACAUGCAAAGUCGAACGAUGAUUAUCUAGCUUGCUAGAUAUGAUUAGUGGCGGACGGGUGAGUAACAUUUAGGAAUCUGCCUAGUAGUGGGGGAUAGCUCGGGGAAACUCGAAUUAAUACCGCAUACGACCUACGGGUGAAAGGGGGCGCAAGCUCUUGCUAUUAGAUGAGCCUAAAUCAGAUUAGCUAGUUGGUGGGGUAAAGGCCCACCAAGGCGACGAUCUGUAACUGGUCUGAGAGGAUGAUCAGUCACACCGGAACUGAGACACGGUCCGGACUCCUACGGGAGGCAGCAGUGGGGAAUAUUGGACAAUGGGGGCAACCCUGAUCCAGCCAUGCCGCGUGUGUGAAGAAGGCCUUUUGGUUGUAAAGCACUUUAAGCAGGGAGGAGAGGCUAAUGGUUAAUACCCAUUAGAUUAGACGUUACCUGCAGAAUAAGCACCGGCUAACUCUGUGCCAGCAGCCGCGGUAAUACAGAGGGUGCGAGCGUUAAUCGGAAUUACUGGGCGUAAAGCGAAUGUAGGUGGCUCAUUAAGUCACAUGUGAAAUCCCCGGGCUUAACCUGGGAACUGCAUGUGAUACUGGUGGUGCUAGAAUAUGUGAGAGGGAAGUAGAAUUCCAGGUGUAGCGGUGAA
This 667-nucleotide ribosomal RNA is filed under the name Faucicola osloensis. RNAcentral's name for it is "bacterial SSU rRNA". It matches the Rfam family "Bacterial small subunit ribosomal RNA", at positions 22 to 685 of the family's 1533-position model. Lineage: Bacteria; Pseudomonadati; Pseudomonadota; Gammaproteobacteria; Moraxellales; Moraxellaceae. The record is from RNAcentral.